RNAcentral lists this ribosomal RNA (332 nucleotides) under uncultured bacterium. RNAcentral describes it as "bacterial SSU rRNA". It matches the Rfam family "Bacterial small subunit ribosomal RNA", at positions 8 to 334 of the family's 1533-position model. The record is from RNAcentral.
AGAGUUUGAUUAUGGCUCAGGAUGAACGCUAGCUACAGGCUUAACACAUGCAAGUCGAGGGGCAGCAUUUUACUAGCAAUAGUAAAGAUGGCGACCGGCGCACGGGUGAGUAACACGUAUCCAACCUGCCGAUAACUCGGGGAUAGCCUUUCGAAAGAAAGAUUAAUAUCCGAUAGUAUAUUUUCUCCGCAUGGCGAGAAUAUUAAAGAAUUUCGGUUAUCGAUGGGGAUGCGUUCCAUUAGGCAGUUGGUGAGGUAACGGCUCACCAAACCUUCGAUGGAUAGGGGUUCUGAGAGGAAGGUCCCCCACAUUGGAACUGAGACACGGUCCAA